AGUGAACGCUGGCAGUAGGCCUAACACAUGCAAGUCGAACGGCAGCACAGUAAGAGCUUGCUCUUACGGGUGGCGAGUGGCGGACGGGUGAGGAAUACAUCGGAAUCUACUUUUUCGUGGGGGGUAACGUAGGGAAACUUACGCUAAUACCGCAUACGACCUACGGGUGAAAGCAGGGGAUCUUCGGACCUUGCGCGAUUGAAUGAGCCGAUGUCGGAUUAGCUAGUUGGCGGGGUAAAGGCCCACCAAGGCGACGAUCCGUAGCUGGUCUGAGAGGAUGAUCAGCCACACUGGAACUGAGACACGGUCCAGACUCCUACGGGAGGCAGCAGUGGGGAAUAUUGGACAAAGGGCGCAAGCCUGAUCCAGCCAUACCGCGUGGGUGAAGAAGGCCUUCGGGUUGUAAAGCCCUUUUGUUGGGAAAGAAAAGCAGCAGGUUAAUACCCCGCUGUUCUGACGGUACCCAAAGAAUAAGCACCGGCUAACUUCGUG
This 492-nucleotide ribosomal RNA is filed under the name uncultured bacterium. RNAcentral's name for it is "partial 16S ribosomal RNA". It matches the Rfam family "Bacterial small subunit ribosomal RNA", at positions 29 to 507 of the family's 1533-position model. The record is from RNAcentral.